UUAAAUGAAAGGUGUAAUUAGAUUUCAUUUUGUUUUAAUAUUUUCUUUUGUAUUUGUAAUGUACGGGUAAAUUUCAUUGUAAUGCAAUCUAGCAUUCACAAAGCUACAUAAGUAAGUAUCACCAGCUGUAUCAGUAGAUUCCUUACAAUAUGUACACAGUUGUAAUUUAUUUCAUUUGCAGAUGAAAACAAAACAUUGAUUGUAUAUUCCUAUAGAAUGCUUAAUGCCUAUUUGGAAAAAAAAAAAAAAAAAAAAAAAAUAAAUAAAUAAAUACGCAACAGACAUCCAUAUCAUGUCACUUUAUCUAUAUCUCAUGAUAAUAUAUCGAUUCACAUAACGCUGUGUCUAAGACGAAACUUUAUAGGCAAAAAAGUUGCGACUCUGACGGCUGCCGAAACCACACCCACAAAAUAAAUGAUAACGAUGUUGCUCAUUGCAGACUUGAAGCGGUCUUCUGCAUGCGCAUGUCCGGAAGUGAUUAUCAGUUCGAGCGCACUGCAAAAAUACGCAAAUUAUUGCAUGUUCGCACGCAUUUAGUGUACAAUAUGUAUAAUAUACUGACUAAAGGUUAGAGUUAGUAUUACCAUAGUUACAAAACAUAUACAUUAAGGAUACUUUUUAUUCAAAUCGCUAUGUAUUGACACGCGUUAAUUGUAUAUCUAAAGCAUACCUUUUCUUACAUGUUUAUAUAUACAGGUCGGAACAACUCCAGAGAUGCCGAGAACGGCUGGUCGUUGGAAGAAUCGACCCAACGCCUUUGGUGAAAAGAAUGAAACGCUGUGUCUACAUAAGAUCGAAUCCAUCCUACUACAGGAACACCCACAAGACCACAUUUUGGUAGAGUGGGACCUCCGGUAUUCUGGUUGCCAUGGUGACAUAGAUGGAGGACCUUACAUACAGAACAUUGACGGAGGUGUUUUCAGAUUUGGAGCAUAGAGGGUUGUGCUUUAAAAAGAUAGUGUUCUGAGGCAAAGAUCAAGAACAUGCAUGCAUAUCAUGGACGAUGACGGACGAAGGUGUUGUUAGAUCUGGACCAUAAAUGAUUUUACACAUGUCUUUGUGUAAAUAUACAGAGAACAGGGUUACCAUGGAAAUGUACCUCUACACCUAGCCAGAGAUAAAUAGAUGACCGACGUCCAAGUCACCGAACAGCAGUGAGAGAAAUACUGCAACCGAUCACGUGACAAACGCUUAGUUUUGAAUAGCAUAAGCCUUGCUCAGAUCUGUACAUAUAUUCAGAUAGCUGAGACGUACCAUGAAUGUGCAGACGACAAGUAAAAGGUGCAGACGACAUCUGGGUAAGCGCGCGCAACUGUUCUAUUGUAUAUCUGCUUUUAUUCGUUUUGUUUUGUAUUGCUAUUUUUUCCACUAGAAUGAUGGGGUACUCGGGGAAAAAAAGUCACAGCAGGAUACAGAGACGCAGACCAAACAAAAUGUGCAUUUCUCUUUAUCAUAAACAGGUAUGUAUAUUGCUACCUAUGUUAUCCUAUUUUGCAUACAUUUCUCUGCAGAUUUUUCCAAACUGAUGGCUGAUGUUGAAUACAAGCACAUGCGAAGAUAUAAUGUUGUAGAUAUCGCAGUGGUUUAGCGGACGGUACAGCUAUGGUAACUAAUGUUGACUUCACAAGCACUGCAAGGAAGUCUUGUAGAUUUCACAAUGGUUUAGUGGAUUGUGCAGCUUGGUCGUUUUUCUAGGGCACAACGGGAGUAACUUGAGAGCUUCGGGCAUGCGCAUACAGUUUCUGGCUUUGGUGAUUGUAAAGCUCGAAGUAUUUGGUGAGAGACUAACCAACGAAGGACACAAACCAUCUGACGAGUAGCAGUUUCCUAGAUCAUACACGAAGAAACUUUUAGUUAAUGGAACUACAGUUGCCACAGGCCUGCCUUGCUGGUACCAUAAAGCUGCCGAUAAACAGAGGUGCACUAGUACCUGUCGAUACCGGUCACCAGAGACGCACUGGUACCCUAUCGAUGCCGAUCAUCAGAGGUGUGCUGGACCCCUUAUGUCAUGAUGUCAACAUAUUGAUCAGGUGUUUUCAACCAGCACUGAUCGAUGGUUUUAAUAGAAUUCAAAGCUUGAUGGACAUAUCGCCUGUAUUUGUCCUGUCGUACUCACGGUAAAGAGCUCUUCAACACCUCUUGCACAAAAACAAAAAAUCCUGGAUGGCCGGGCAGACGAAGACUUCAGUCAGGUUUGAAAAGGCAAGAAAACAGUUUUACGUUACUGAAAGACAUAGAAAAGAAUCGAUUGCAGAAACAUAUCAUCAUGCCGUCCUGUGUUUGUUAUUUCCAACAGAUGACAGUGCGAUGCGUUCCAG
Molecule: long non-coding RNA, 2318 nt
Organism: Mercenaria mercenaria
Lineage: Eukaryota; Metazoa; Mollusca; Bivalvia; Venerida; Veneridae
Exons: 9
Source: RefSeq, a predicted model, not a curated record